This 447-nucleotide ribosomal RNA is filed under the name uncultured bacterium. Its description in RNAcentral is "bacterial SSU rRNA". It matches the Rfam family "Bacterial small subunit ribosomal RNA", at positions 355 to 825 of the family's 1533-position model. The record is from RNAcentral.
UGGGGAAUCUUGGACAAUGGGCGCAAGCCUGACCCAGCAACGCCGCGUGAAGGAUGAAGUAUUUCGGUAUGUAAACUUCGUAAGAAUAGGAAGAAUAAAUGACGGUACUAUUUGUAAGGUCCGGCUAACUACGUGCCAGCAGCCGCGGUAAUACGUAGGGACCAAGCGUUGUUCGGAUUUACUGGGCGUAAAGGGCGCGUAGGCGGUGUGUCAAGUCAGUUGUGAAAUCUCCGAGCUUAACUCGGAACGGUCAACUGAUACUGUCACACUAGAGUACAGAAGGGGCAAUCGGAAUUCUUGGUGUAGCGGUGAAAUGCGUAGAUAUCGGAAGGAACAUCGGUGGCGAAGGCGUCUACCUGGCCUAAUACUGACGCUGAGACGCGAAAGCGUGGGGAGCAAACAGGAUUAGAUACCCCGGUAGUCCCUGAGCGGGCUGGCAAGGCGCAU